Molecule: ribosomal RNA, 451 nt
Filed under: uncultured bacterium
Lineage: Bacteria
Description: partial 16S ribosomal RNA
Rfam family: Bacterial small subunit ribosomal RNA
Source: RNAcentral
AACGAACGCUGGCGGCAGGCUUAACACAUGCAAGUCGAACGGUUGUAGCAAUACAGCGGUGGCAGACGGGUGAGUAACACGUGGGAACCUUCCUAGGGGUACGGAACAACUCAGGGAAACUUGAGCUAAUACCGUAUACGUCCGUGAGGAGAAAGAUUUAUCGCCCUUAGACGGGCCCGCGUCGGAUUAGCUAGUUGGUGGGGUAACGGCCUACCAAGGCGACGAUCCGUAGCUGAUCUUAGAGGAUAAUCAGCCACACUGGGACUGAGACACGGCCCAGACUCCUACGGGAGGCAGCAGUGGGGAAUCUUGGACAAUGGGCGCAAGCCUGAUCCAGCCAUGCCGCGUGAGUGAAGAAGGUCUUCGGAUUGUAAAGCUCUUUUGCCAGGGACGAUAAUGACGGUACCUGGAGAAUAAGCCCCGGCAAACUUCGUGCCAGCAGCCGCGGUAA